AACGAACGCUGGCGGCAUGCCUAACACAUGCAAGUCGAACGAGACCUUCGGGUCUAGUGGCGCACCGGUGCGUAACGCGUGGGAACCUGCCCUUAGGUUCGGAAUAACUCCCCGAAAGGGGUGCUAAUACCGGAUAAUGUCUUCGGACCAAAGAUUUAUCGCCUUUGGAUGGGCCCGCGUUGGAUUAGCUAGUUGGUAGGGUAAAAGCCUACCAAGGCGACGAUCCAUAGCUGGUCUGAGAGGAUGAUCAGCCACACUGGGACUGAGACACGGCCCAGACUCCUACGGGAGGCAGCAGUGGGGGAUAUUGGACAAUGGGCGAAAGCCUGAUCCAGCAAUGCCGCGUGAGUGAUGAAGGCCUUAGGGUUGUAAAGCUCUUUUACCCGGGAUGAUAAUGACAGUACCGGGAGAAUAAGCUCCGGCUAACUCCGUG
RNAcentral lists this ribosomal RNA (433 nucleotides) under uncultured bacterium. RNAcentral describes it as "partial 16S ribosomal RNA". It matches the Rfam family "Bacterial small subunit ribosomal RNA", at positions 29 to 507 of the family's 1533-position model. The record is from RNAcentral.